This 396-nucleotide unclassified non-coding RNA is filed under the name uncultured fungus. Its description in RNAcentral is "partial contains 5.8S ribosomal RNA, internal transcribed spacer 2, and large subunit ribosomal RNA". The record is from RNAcentral. Lineage: Eukaryota; Fungi.
AACGCAAAUUGCGCUUAAGGGUAUUCCUUUGAGCAUGCCUGGUUGAGUAUCAUUAAAUAAACUCAUUACCAAAAAGUUUCUGGAACUUGUUCUGGUCUCUUUCUGGUCAAUGGAUAUGAGGUUGUCUUGGACUUUUUGUCUCUUUUGACAAAAGCAUGCCAAGUCCCUUUAAGUAAAGAGAUGUGCAAUGAGUCUCACCGUUUUGACGGCUCUUGUACUUUUAUGAUGCGGUAAUUGUUCUAAACAUUUUCACAUCAUAUUUAAGUGCAUUGAGUUAGGUGACUUGACUUGUUAUUCGCACCAAAACCCCCAAAACCGAAAGUUGAAGAGCCUAAAAAACUCUAUCGAUUUUUGAAUCUUGAUCUCAACUCAGGCAAGACUACCCGCUGAAUUUAA